CAACCAGUCUCUUCACUCCUUUUUCCAUCAUGAGACCUGUAGAUUUAAUCCCUGACAUAGACAGUAAUAAUCCAAGAGUACCUCCACUGACUAUUUUAGAUUCCUCACAAGUAUCCCUAACUUGCGGUAUUGAAUGGAAAUGUGAGUUGGAGCCCUUUCAAACCUUUGUGCUGUGUUGCCAAAGGCAAUUAGUCUUCAGGGGGCCACUUUCAAACUGGUUCCUGGACCACUAUGGAAGCACCUCAGAGGGAAGCUUUUCUACCUGGGUGAGGGGGGCAAGGACAUCCUUCUAGACCAAUCCUGAGAUAAAAGCAUGUUGACCGUCAUCUGCUGGCCAGGUCAGUACUUGUGGGACUCUGCAGCUCUUUGCCUGAAGGAAUAGCACUAGAAAAGCAACUUCAUGGGCCCAACACUUAUAUUAGAUAUAAAGCCAAAUUGGAGAAGACCAUUUACAAUCCAAGUAAGGCUUGGGCAUGAUGUGGGAUUUUUCAAGUGGAAGCUCAGGGACACCAAAUAGAGUCAAAGAAGAGCUAAUAUGACCUUUAUAUCACUCAACAGGUGAUGUUUAAGUCACAUGUAAUCUUUGGUUUCAAAUAAUUCUAGCUGUAAAUGGUUCCUGUCUACUGGCUGUAUGGUUAACAGCAGAGGAGACGAGGUAGAAACGCAAUAUCAGUGUAGAUAAACCAACAUAUAAAAUAGUUUUGUUGUUAGCUUGGUUUAGUUUGUUUUUCACUGGUCUGAAUCGUGGAGCAAUUUGUAAAAUUGUUCCAAACAACCUCAACUCUGGUCAAAUGUGUCGAAAAUCCUCCCUAAUUGGUCUUGCAGAUGUUCAAUACCUUUGCAAAAUUUCUGAUAUAGACACCAGCGAGUGAGAGAAAACAAAAACACUUGCUUUACAAAAAUGCAAGAUGUAGACCACAACAAAAAAGGGCAAACCAAGACCCAUGUUUUCAGUCUGUCUUGGUGCAGUUGUUUGGGCUACACUAGGGUACAAUUGACAACUGCCACACCAUCACGAAUGAACCAUACACACUCAGCAAACAAACGCAGGUUCCUUUUAACCAAACCAAACAGGUGAACUGUGGAGGCACUCUUAAAAUGAACUUGUUUAUUUUCUGGUCACAAGUCAGAAACAUUUAACCUCAUUGACUGAUGUGGUGAAAUCAAAUUACGUCCAUAAACGUUUUUAAAUGACACUUUAAGGCAUCUGUGUUGGCAGUUUGAAACUGACUUUAACGGGAAGUAACUCACCCCUCUUCACCAGUUUAUCAUUCCCCCAGUGACUUAACUUUUAAAAGAACAGAUUUACCCGAACUGAUAAAAGGCCUAUCAGAGAUUUGGACAUGUGGAGAGGAGUCAAAUGCUCAUGGCUAGAGUGAAUGGCUGUGGGUCAGAUGAAAGCUGAGUGAUUGAGGCUAAGAGGUAAUUCAUAAAUUUAUAAUGUUGGCCGGAGAUGUUCCAGACAGAAGUGUGUAGUGUGCUGUUUACUGGGACGGUUCUGGGCUGGUUUGUUUGGUGGAUCGACUAGCAUGCUAAUAGUGUUGGUAGCUGAGGUGUGUGCUCUUCUGAAUGCUAAGGUUGUUGAGGAUUGGUGUAUUUGUGACUCAGGCAGCAUGAUACAUACCGUCACAUACUUUUAUUGGUUUAUUCUGUGGCUCAGACAGAUCAUUCGCUCAACAUACUGUUACCGUGCUGGUACACUAUGUUGUUGAGGACGUUUGUAACACCCUUGCGUUAUUGGUCAAUGAUAUCUACAGAACAAGCUAGUCUGUGAUCUUGCAAACUGGAUGAAACGGCCUGUUACAUGAGAAUUAACAUAUUAUUAAGGACUGGAUAUGGCAGCAUGCUCAGCCUGUCUUCCUUUACAUUUCUUGAUUAAAUUCAAAGUUGUCUUUAAAUGGAUAAAAAGUGAUUUUAAAAUCAUCAAAAUGUAAAGUCGGGGUGGGCUGAAGUUUGAAGAUGGGGCCAGUUGAUUGCACCAAGGAAGCAAUUUCUUGUUGACUACAUACGCACCAUCUUUGGGUCACAUUUCAUGGCCUAUAUACACACUUACUCACACACACACACACACUAGCUAAAGACCACUAAAGACUGACAAAGGAAAUUGUAAAAAGCUUAUGAGCUCUCAAAGGCUUGUCCCUUGAGUGGGCAGAGGAAGGCUGUUUCCCAGUUUAGGGGGAUGGAGUGGAGGAUGAGCGCUGGUGUAUUGCUGCUACUGAAUCUCACCCACUUAGUGAUCAACCGUCACCCCUCACCUCACAGUUUAUGUUGCACUGUUCUCACAGCUGUCAUCAUAUCUUACAGAUGAAACCUCUGAGAGACGUUUGCUGUUAGCUGUAUGUCUAAACUAAGCUAGCUGCUUGCCAGAAGGUGCUUUACACCUCAAGCUAGUGUCAUCUAUCUAACUCACUGAAACUUAGGUGUACAGUAGUAAGAAAAGGAUAAAGAAUGUGAAUUUUUAGUUUACACCUUUAUCCCACAAAGAAUAUGUCUUGCUCUCUUAGCCAUGGCUUCCUUCAACCUUUCUUACAAUCUAUCAACUACUGUACCGCCUUCUUUGUCCCUUAUGAAUAUGCAAAUUCAUGUGAGUGUUUGGAAGUAAUUCCUCUUUUCUUUUGGCUUUUUAAACUAGUCAUAUUUCCUGUGUCUCCACCAGCUGUUUAACCACAGUCCAAGCAUGGAGUCCUGUUGCCCUGUUGGGUUUUUUUCCUUUGUCCUAGCUUCUGUCAGUUUUUUUUCUUUGGAUGCGAUCCUCUGGAAGCUUAAAAUCACAGGCUCCUGUGGUGUUUGAGGUCACUGUUUGCGUGCCAGGGAACAGUGUGCCUUUUUUCUCUGAUCUACAGCUUGUUGUAAAAGCAACUGCUUUCCAAGGAAAUAUUAGCAAGCCAACAAAAAAAAAAGAUAUAUGUGGAGUCAGAAUUCCUUGAAUCUGGAAAAAUCUCUGAGCAAAAAAGACAACCUCGAAAGCCAAUACUUGAUGACUGUGGUCAUUGGGCUCUAGGGGUGUCAUUUCUUUUGAAAACAGGCAUGACGCUGUAGUGGAAGUCACUGCACUGGCUCUAAAUCACUUCCUAAAUGCAUUGAUUGGAACAACAUGACCAGUCAGAGCUAUUCUAUGCAAAGAAGAAAUCAAACAAGUGGACCCAGAAUUGCUAGCAACUUCUCUGGUCCAGGUACCAUUUAACAAAAUCACAGAAAAGUAAACAUAUGCCUCUAAUUUGAGUAAUGGUAAAAAUAAGUUCUUCAUAGCCUGGUUCCAUUUCAUAUAACUACUAACCUUUUACAUACCUGUGCAUGUGAAAUCCACAGGCUGGAACUUGUCAAUUUUUUCCACUUCACAGUUACACAUUAAAGUGGAACAAGCAUUUGCUUUUAGAGCUUCUCACAUGUGGAAUGAUCUACUUGUGUUUUUUAGCCAUUACUCACCAUUGUUUUUGUUAUUAGUUUUGAGAGCUUUCUUCUAUCGACUGGGUGGAGAAAAAGUAGGUAGAAAUGUGUAAUUGUGAAAGCACUGAUUUAGCACAGAUCGACUAUGUAGAGUGACGCCCCGCUAUAAGGGGGCACAAUAAACAGGUAAUUGACAAUGAUGGACAGGUUAUCAUGUAAUUGGUGUAAUGCUUCAGUUUGCUGAACUACUGGGUGGAGAAUGAAUGAAUAAUGGUGAUAUGUUAUUGAUUAAGAGCUGGUUAGAUCAUAUAUAAAAUAAAUUUAAAAAAGACAUAGUUGUGAACCGCACCAAUUGACUGUCAUCAGUGUCAUUAGUGUUGCUAAUCUUAUUUUUGUACGCACAAAACUAGCUGAUGUAAACACUUAGGUAAUUUCUCCUAAUCAAAAGCAGAGAUUUAAACUUUAAACCUAUCUAGAAAAAAAUCCUAUUGGGCUUAAUUGAAGCCACAUUCACCUUACCACUAUCAAAAAAUUUCAUACUCUCAUAUUUGACAUUACAUGCCAGAUAUGAGUCAUGAAUUGCUUGUGAAGGGUAGAAGAAUUCGCCAGUGGAAAAAGAAAAAUGUACCUGUCAAGUGUCUUAAUAUUAGAGUUAUGUUUUUAGAAAAUAUCUUCUUUCAGGAAACUUGACAAGUAAUUUUUUCUUGUUCCAUCAGCAGAUGUAUUUUUUUCUCAAAACAAACAAUUCAGGUCUUAAUUGUGGUGUGUGAUUUUUUGAAAUAGGACAUUUUUUUUCUGGACUUGUCAGGUGCUUGUGGCUUAUAUUAAGCCUAAUAAAAUACUUUUAACAGAAAUGAGACAAAAACACUUGCUAAGAGUUUUGGUGUGUUUGAACGCUGCUUCAAAAGACAAGCCAAGCAAAACCAAAACGAAAAAAAGAAAAAAGCAGGACGAAGUUGAUGGCUGAGUCUUGAGGUAACAGAGGGAAUCAAAUCACUUAAGUUAUUUUUGGUUUUACCCUGUGCUCUGGUGUUCAUUGCCAAAAGAAAAGGUAUUAAUUUGAGCCAUCCGUAUUUUAUUUAGCACUCAGAGUCAUUAUUGUACCUCUAUUCGCCUCCACCUCAAAGAUUGCCAGUCAUUGUGGCUGUAAUAUGAUAAGUUGAAGUGUUAUGGCUGUUCAUGGCGCGAGGGCCUCCUGACUGAACCAAACUGUCUUCUACUCCUCAUCUUUUUUCUGUAUUUCCUGCACUUCCUUUCCUUCUCUCAGUUGCAGGUUAAAGACAAACAGAUGGGUGGGUGUUGCAGUCUUAUUUUCAGUGCAGAAUUAAUUAAGGCUUAUGGCAGCUGACGCAUCAGAUUCACACUGACCUGCAAUUAAGGAGAACACUUGCAUUUGGAGGGUUGGGAAUAUAGCAGCCAAACCAACAGCCCUGCCAACCGCCAUGAAAAAUACAUCCUUCUCACUGGGGUUUGCACUCUCAUUAAAAGUUGCCUUGAGACAUUUUGCUUAAGUUACCUCAGAAAUGUUUUUAUUUCUGCUUUGGUUGGUGUAAUUCUGUAUUCCUGCAUUGUUGGGGGAGCAGGUUAAGGUCCACCAAGCAUAGUUGAACAAGCAGAUAUUGGAAUGAGACUGCGGUCCAGGCCACGAUUGUAGAGUCAGUUUUCAGAUGGAGAUGAAUAACUGAGAGCUUUGCUGGCAAUCAAGAACAUUUACAACCAACAAAAAGAACAAAACAGCUCCAAAAUUAUAUAUAACAAUCUUCUUCCUUCAACUUUCAUGUUGAGGGAGGAAGUUAUAAAGGAAAUAAUUUGAUUAAUUACAUGGAAUGAAAAAUAUCAUGUUGGAGGCAUUUCUUGGAUGUUAAAACAAGAAAAUAUUCCUCAACUUUAAUGUUGGACUUUCUCUUGUAAGAGCUGCAACCAAAGAGAAAAAAAAACACUUUUCCUUGGAAGUGUGAACCAGCAGAGGGGAGGAUUUCUUCUUUUUUUGCUUGGAGCUACUUGCAACAAGCUGUGCUAGUUUGAGCACCACUGGGAACAUUUUGUAAAAUCCAAUUUUUGUGAUCAAAAGGCAUCCAUGGAGGGAGCUCAGUGUGGGUAGACAGCAUUAAAAGGAAACACCACUUCUUUCCUAUCUACAUCUUCCCUUAUCCCAGCUCCAAGCCCUAUGCAGUUGCAGCAGAUGGCUGUUUAACAUGAGUCUGGUUCUGCUCAAGGUUUCUGUCUUUCAAAAGGAAGUCCCUCCUUGCCAUAUGAAUUCAGUUAAUGCUGGGAAAUGCUCUAAGAUAGGAUAAGGCUUAAUCUUAAAAUACGACAAGACUGGAUCUUAUCUUAAGUUGAUCUUUAUGUUGGGGCUCUGUAAGUAAUAUUACAAAGGGUAGGGUCUGAAUCUACUCUAUGGAUAUUCUAUGAUUCUAUGGAUAAUACGGCCAAUGAGGAGCUUGAACUAAGACAUUAAAAUGACCCAAAAAAGUCACCCCUGAGGGACACCAUAUUUAAAGGAGCUCAGGAUACAAUAUGGUCAAUACCAAUGGAGAUAUUUCCUCCUGUUUAACAAAUAAGUGAGUCAUUGUAAAGCUCAUUACACUUACACAACCCACUGCAUCCAUUCAUGUAUUUAUAACAGAUUGUUGUUAUAAAUUCUAUCAAAGAAAUCAAUAAAUAUGUAGGAGUGCAUGUCCAAAAUACCCAAUCAAUGUAGUAAUUCCAAGUUUGCUUUUGAUUACUCAUUAUUGUCCAAUUUGCACUUUUUAGGAGGUUCCACUUUGGUUGCUAUUUUGAUUUUAUCCAAGUCCUGUACAUAUGACACUAUCAUUCCCUGUGAUAGCGAGGUAAAUGACUGGUCACAACAUGCCAACCAUGGGCGUUCCUUAAACUAUAGUCUUCCUCAAUGUUGAUUCGUCUGCUAUUAGUUGCCACCCAUUUAAUUGGCACUGUAUCCAGAGGCCCUUGGUGAUCCAUUCAAAGAAAAGUGUUCUGCCAGCUUUUGUGAUGCAGUUGGUUGCUGAUAUCUGUUAAAAGUUUGGUUAUGGCAUGCAAUUGAGCUCAAAGUAUGAGGAAUCUUUCGUCAUUUCCCUCCAAAAAAAGGUCCAGCUUAAUUGUUUGCAGUUUCUAAGAUGGAUGGUUUCAUUCACCACUCUAUCACCAAGUGGCACAUAAUGUGUCACAACAUGAAAGAGAGGAGGAGAACUAGACCCAAAUGCAGACAUAUUGUCCAAUAAAUCCAAAAUACAAGGGAUAAUAAUGACAAAGGAACAGUAAUAAUGCAUCAUGUCUAUUAGAAUAUCAUACUCAGAACUAAAACAGUGUCUAUGUAAGUAAUUCUUUGAGUAUCAGCUGAAACUGCAGACUGAUCGCUCACUGGAAACACUGGUUCUCAUACCUUUGAAGAGCCCAAUACAAGUUUAACAGGUGCUUAAUAAUGGUCAAGGUUACUCACUAUUUACUGGACUGGGAAAUAAAUCGUGGAUAUAAAUUAAUAAAAUAAAUACUAUAAUUAAACUAUACAUUGUGUCAUAUGUUUGUAAAAGCGUUUCUUUAAGGUACAACAAACGCGUUUUUAAAUGUGUUAUUUGUCCUUGCAGCUCUUCAGCAUAUGUGUGAAUAUGAGGCAGAUUGUUGUGUUUUGGCACCUGAGUUUCUCAUAAUUCCUCUCUUUUUUUUUUUUCUCUGUCAAGUGUGAUGUUGUGCAGGUGUGAGGAGUUGGAGUAGACCAGCACCCAUGGGUAAAACAAGCCUUAAGCGUGAGAAAUUUGUGAAGACAGCUGCUGCUUGUAGACCUUCCUGUUAACACCGAGCUUUUACUCCUACUGCAUAAGGCUGGAUGAUACUACAUUUGUUAUAAAUAUACUGCAUGUUUGAUGUUGACGCAGAAAACUACUUUAGUAUACUAGUUAUUUUCUUAAAGAUGCUGUCAACAUAGAAGGGUAAGGAGCAGCGUUCCUAUCUUGAUGUCUCAUUUUCACAUUCACCAAUAAAAUGUGAUUUCAUUCCUGACCUUUACUGUUUUUUUUUUUUUGCAACAGUACAACCACAGAAGUGAAAAUGAGAGUGUCUGACAUCUACUGUCAUAGCAGGUUGAGGUCACUGCAGUCGCAUUCACAGCUAGCGCAUGGCACUGAAAGCUCUUUGUAGCUGCAUGAAUGUUAAGUUUGAAUGCUGCAAAAAUAAAUAAAUAAAAAAAUUCAAUAAAGAACUUAAAGUUUCUUAUGCUCAAA
This is a non-coding RNA of Xyrichtys novacula (pearly razorfish), 7604 nucleotides long. The record is from the annotation of a GenBank genome assembly. Lineage: Eukaryota; Metazoa; Chordata; Actinopteri; Labriformes; Labridae.